RNAcentral lists this long non-coding RNA (201 nucleotides) under Capsicum annuum. RNAcentral's name for it is "long non-coding RNA (CANN_LNC011820)". The record is from RNAcentral. Lineage: Eukaryota; Viridiplantae; Streptophyta; Magnoliopsida; Solanales; Solanaceae.
UGGGUUCUGCAAAAAAUAGAGUAACAAAUGCUUCAAGUGUGGCUAGAUUGGUUAUCUGCAAAGGUAUUGUCCUUCUAAGGUCACUUAUAGGGUGAAUAAGAUUUAUGUUUCUACUUUAUCUGCACCUGCACCAAAGGGUGCUACUUCUACUUCUGGCUCCGGCACUGGUCGGAACCGUCUGUAUGCUCUUACCUCUUUCCA